GUGCCAGCCGCCGGGUAAUACGGAGGGGGUUAGCGUUGUUCGGAAUUACUGGGCGUAAAGCGCGCGUAGGCGGACAUUUAAGUCAGGGGUGAAAUCCCGGGGCUCAACCCCGGAACUGCCUCUGAUACUGGUAGUCUAGAGUUCGAGAGAGGUGAGUGGAAUUCCGAGUGUAGAGGUGAAAUUCGUAGAUAUUCGGAAGAACACCAGUGGCGAAGGCGGCUCACUGGCUCGAUACUGACGCUGAGGUGCGAAAGUGUGGGUAGCAAACAGGAUUAGAAACCCUAGUAGUCC
Molecule: ribosomal RNA, 291 nt
Filed under: uncultured bacterium
Lineage: Bacteria
Description: partial 16S ribosomal RNA
Rfam family: Bacterial small subunit ribosomal RNA
Source: RNAcentral